This 106-nucleotide small RNA is filed under the name Marmota monax (woodchuck). The record is from RNAcentral. Lineage: Eukaryota; Metazoa; Chordata; Mammalia; Rodentia; Sciuridae.
GCAGGGCGUGGUGGCUCCCGCCUGUAAUUCCAGCUACUAGGGAGGCUGAGGCAGGAGGAUUCCAAGUUCAGGCCAGCCUGGGCAACUUGGCAAGAUCCUACCUCAA